GUCUAAAUAGCUCAGUAAGAGCAAUCGCUCGGUAAGCGAAAGACUCGGGUUUGAUUCCCGAUUCAGCG
Molecule: transfer RNA, 68 nt
Filed under: Lasius niger
Lineage: Eukaryota; Metazoa; Arthropoda; Insecta; Hymenoptera; Formicidae
Rfam family: tRNA
About the family: Transfer RNA (tRNA) molecules are approximately 80 nucleotides in length. Their secondary structure includes four short double-helical elements and three loops (D, anti-codon, and T loops). Further hydrogen bonds mediate the characteristic L-shaped molecular structure. tRNAs have two regions of fundamental functional importance: the anti-codon, which is responsible for specific mRNA codon recognition, and the 3' end, to which the tRNAs corresponding amino acid is attached (by aminoacyl-tRNA synthetases). tRNAs cope with the degeneracy of the genetic code in two manners: having more than one tRNA (with a specific anti-codon) for a particular amino acid; and 'wobble' base-pairing, i.e. permitting non-standard base-pairing at the 3rd anti-codon position.
Source: Rfam by way of RNAcentral